RNAcentral lists this ribosomal RNA (392 nucleotides) under uncultured bacterium. RNAcentral describes it as "partial 16S ribosomal RNA". It matches the Rfam family "Bacterial small subunit ribosomal RNA", at positions 523 to 918 of the family's 1533-position model. The record is from RNAcentral.
AUACGGAGGAUCCGAGCGUUAUCCGGAUUUAUUGGGUUUAAAGGGUGCGCAGGCGGCCAUUUAAGUCAGCGGUUAAAUCGUGGGGCUCAACCCCAUUCUGCCGUUGAUACUGGGUGGCUUGAUUGCGGUCGAGGUUGGCGGAAUUCGUUGUGUAGCGGUGAGAUGCAUAGAUAUGACGAAGGACACCGAUUGCGUAGGCAGCUCACUAGACCGCGAAGUACGCUCAUGCACGAAAGUUCGAGGAUCUAACAGGAUUAGCUCCCCUGGUAGGCCGCAGCGGAAACGAUGAAUACUUGUUUUCGGCGAUAUAAUGUCGGAGGCAUAGCGAAAGUGAUAAGGAUUCCCGCUCGCGAGUACGGCGUCAACGCGGAAGCUCAAAGGAGUGGACGGGG